Long non-coding RNA from Tupaia belangeri chinensis (Chinese tree shrew), 328 nucleotides. RefSeq lists it as uncharacterized. NCBI's taxonomy places the organism in Eukaryota, Metazoa, Chordata, Mammalia, Scandentia, Tupaiidae. The record is from RefSeq and is a predicted model, not a curated record. The transcript has 3 exons.
CUGUAAAGUGACUCAUCCAUUUAUAAAACAAAGUUCCUGCCUUCCUGGAACCUACAUCCUAGUUGGAGAGAAAACUACUGAGAGAAAAUAUUAUUGAAAUAAUGUACUCUGCCAGAGAAGGCUUCCCAGAGGUGCCAUUUGAGUGGGAUUAAAAGAUGAAAUGAGUUCGUCAAGAUGACAUGAUCGGAGAAUGGUGACCCAGAUUCUAAGCUCCAGAAAACCAGAGAUUGCUGUAUUGUUCACCAUGAUAACACAUAACCUGACAGUACUUGGCACUUAAUUGAAACUCACUGAAUAGCUGUCAAUUUAUUAAAUGAACUAAUCAUUC